UACGUAGGGGGCUAGCGUUGUCCGGAAUCAUUGGGCGUAAAGCGCGUGUAGGCGGUCCGGUAAGUCCGCUGUGAAAGUCGGGGGCUCAACCCUCGAAAGCCGGUGGAAACUGUCGGGCUAGAGUGCGGAAGAGGCGAGUGGAAUUCCUGGUGUAGCGGUGAAAUGCGUAGAUAUCGAGAGGAACACCUGCGGCGAAGGCGGGUUGCUGGGCCGACACUGACGCUGAUGCGCGAAAGCCAGGGGAGCGAACGGG
RNAcentral lists this ribosomal RNA (253 nucleotides) under uncultured bacterium. Its description in RNAcentral is "partial 16S ribosomal RNA". It matches the Rfam family "Bacterial small subunit ribosomal RNA", at positions 524 to 776 of the family's 1533-position model. The record is from RNAcentral.